GCAUUCAAGAUGUGAGUGCCCGUGGUGUGU
This 30-nucleotide non-coding RNA is filed under the name Homo sapiens (human). The record is from RNAcentral. Lineage: Eukaryota; Metazoa; Chordata; Mammalia; Primates; Hominidae.